GAAAUGCGAUAAGUAAUGUGAAUUGCAGAAUUCAGUGAAUCAUCGAAUCUUUGAACACACAUUGCGCCCGCCAGUAUUCUGGCGGGCAUGCCUGUUCGAGCGUCAUUUCAACCAUCAAGCCCCCGGCUUGUGUUGGGGACCUGCGGCUGCCCGCAGGCCCUGAAAACCAGUGGCGGGCUCGCUGUCACACCGAGCGUAGUAGCAUACAUCUCGCUCAGGGCGUGCUGCGGGUUCCGGCCGUUAAAAGCCUUUUUUACCCAAGGUUGACCUCGGAUCAGGUAGGAAGACCCGCUGAACUUAAGC
This 303-nucleotide unclassified non-coding RNA is filed under the name plant metagenome. Its description in RNAcentral is "partial contains 5.8S ribosomal RNA, internal transcribed spacer 2, and large subunit ribosomal RNA". The stretch from base 1 to 105 matches the Rfam family "5.8S ribosomal RNA", at positions 50 to 154 of the family's 154-position model. The record is from RNAcentral.